AGAGCCUAUUUAAUUAUUUUACUAUAAUAUGGCAUAUAUAAUGUUGACAAAGCAUCACUAUCAACUAUAUUCCGCUCAGAAACAUUUUUUCGUAAGCAAUGGUUUAUCAUUGUUUCCAGGUAUACAUUAAAUUACUUAUAACAGUGUUUGUACCCGUCCCCAUUAUCCUAAGACGUAUUUUUUUAUUUUUAGUCUGAGCUAUAAUGAGGAAGCGCUAGAACCGGCUCUAGUAAUUACUGAUGGGGGAUAGGCAUCAACUUUUAAAUUCUAAGCGUAUCAAGGGAGCUAUUAGUUUAACAAGAUUUUUAUUUUUUUCUUGUCUGUGGGCAUGUUUUUUCCUAGUA
This is a non-coding RNA of Cinara cedri, 344 nucleotides long. Lineage: Eukaryota; Metazoa; Arthropoda; Insecta; Hemiptera; Aphididae. The record is from the annotation of a GenBank genome assembly.